UUUCCAGCAUCCCCAUCCUGGUUCCUGCUGCUCUCUUUUACCAGGUGGCCAUGACCCAUGAGGAGGACAAAACCACUGCCAUCAAAUCAGUUUAAAGCCAUUGCCCCCUGUCCUGGCACUACAAGCUCUUGCAAAGUCAUUGAAUGGAAUCACAGGAUCAUGAAGUGCCUGCAGGUUGAUCCAGUCCUACAGCUGCAAUCUUU
Pogoniulus pusillus (Red-fronted tinkerbird) is the source of this 203-nucleotide long non-coding RNA. RefSeq lists it as uncharacterized. NCBI's taxonomy places the organism in Eukaryota, Metazoa, Chordata, Aves, Piciformes, Lybiidae. The record is from RefSeq and is a predicted model, not a curated record. The transcript is spliced from 3 exons.